UGGCGGACGGGUGAGUAACGCGUGGAAAACCUGCCGUAUACUGGGGGAUAACACUUAGAAAUAGGUGCUAAUACCGCAUAAGCGCACAGCUUCGCAUGAAGCGGUGUGAAAAACUCUGGUGGUAUACGAUGGUUCCGCGUCUGAUUAGCUAGUUGGUGGGGUAAUGGCCUACCAAGGCAACGAUCAGUAGCCGGCCUGAGAGGGUGAACGGCCACAUUGGGACUGAGACACGGCCCAAGCUCCUACGGAAGGCAGCAG
This 258-nucleotide ribosomal RNA is filed under the name uncultured bacterium. RNAcentral's name for it is "partial 16S ribosomal RNA". It matches the Rfam family "Bacterial small subunit ribosomal RNA", at positions 96 to 354 of the family's 1533-position model. The record is from RNAcentral.